AGGAUGAACGCUAGCGGCAGGCUUAAUACAUGCAAGUCGUGGGGCAGCAGCUUUGUAGCAAUACAGAGGCUGGCGACCGGCAAACGGGUGCGGAACACGUACGCAACCUUCCUCUAACUGGAAGAUAGCCCACCGAAAGGUGGAUUAAUACUCCAUAAUAUAUUGAAGUGGCAUCACUUUAAUAUUAAAGCUCCGGCGGUAAGAGAUGGGCGUGCGGCUGAUUAGGUAGUUGGCGGGGUAACGGCCCACCAAGCCUACGAUCAGUAGCUGAUGUGAGAGCAUGAUCAGCCACACGGGCACUGAGACACGGGCCCGACUCCUACGGGAGGCAGCAGUAAGGAAUAUUGGUCAAUGGACGCAAGUCUGAACCAGCCAUGCCGCGUGGAGGAUGACGGUCCUCUGGAUUGUAAACUUCUUUUCUCUGGGACGAAACCCCCGAUUUCCAUCGGGCCUGACGGUACCAGAGGAAUAAGCACCGGCUAACUCCGUGCCAGCAGCCGCGGUAAUACGGAGGGUGCAAGCGUUAUCCGGAUUCACUGGGUUUAAAGGGUGCGUAGGCGGGUUUGUAAGUCAGUGGUGAAAUCCCCGAGCUUAACUUGGGAACUGCCAUUGAUACUGCAGAUCUUGAAUUUUCUGGAGGUAAGCGGAAUAUGUCAUGUAGCGGUGAAAUGCUUAGAUAUGACAUAGAACACCCAUUGCGAAGGCAGCUUACUACGGGAAUAUUGACGCUGAGGCACGAAAGCGUGGGGAUCAAACAGGAUUAGAUACCCUGGUAGUCCACGCCCUAAACGAUGAUUACUCGACAUUAGCGAUAUUACUGUUAGUGUCUAAGCGAAAGCAUUAAGUAAUCCAC
This 853-nucleotide ribosomal RNA is filed under the name uncultured bacterium. RNAcentral describes it as "bacterial SSU rRNA". It matches the Rfam family "Bacterial small subunit ribosomal RNA", at positions 26 to 872 of the family's 1533-position model. The record is from RNAcentral.